UACGAAGGGGGCUAGCGUUGCUCGGAAUCACUGGGCGUAAAGGGCGCGUAGGCGGCGUUUUUAAGUCGGGGGUGAAAGCCUGUGGCUCAACCACAGAAUGGCCUUCGAUACUGGGACGCUUGAGUAUGGUAGAGGUUGGUGGAACUGCGAGUGUAGAGGUGAAAUUCGUAGAUAUUCGCAAGAACACCGGUGGCGAAGGCGGCCAACUGGACCAUUACUGACGCUGAGGCGCGAAAGCGUGGGGAGCAAACAGGAUUAGAACCGGUACCGUCAG
RNAcentral lists this ribosomal RNA (274 nucleotides) under uncultured bacterium. RNAcentral's name for it is "partial 16S ribosomal RNA". It matches the Rfam family "Bacterial small subunit ribosomal RNA", at positions 524 to 793 of the family's 1533-position model. The record is from RNAcentral.